GCAGUGGUGGUUCACUGAUAGAAUUCUCGCCUGCCACGCGGGAGACCCGGGUCCGUUUCCUGGCCAAUGCA
Danio rerio (zebrafish) is the source of this 71-nucleotide non-coding RNA. Lineage: Eukaryota; Metazoa; Chordata; Actinopteri; Cypriniformes; Danionidae. The record is from Rfam.